UUUGAUGAAGUUUUCGGAUGGAUUUAAAGCAGCUUAGUGGCGGACGGGUGAGUAACGCGUGGGUAACCUGCCUCACACUGGGGGAUAACAGUUAGAAAUAGCUGCUAAUACCGCAUAAGCGCACGGUUCCGCAUGGAACAGUGUGAAAAACUCCGGUGGUGUGAGAUGGACCCGCGUCUGAUUAGCUAGUUGGUGGGGUAACGGCCUACCAAGGCGACGAUCAGUAGCCGGCCUGAGAGGGUGAACGGCCACAUUGGGACUGAGACACGGCCCAAACUCC
Molecule: ribosomal RNA, 280 nt
Filed under: uncultured Eubacteriales bacterium
Lineage: Bacteria; Bacillati; Bacillota; Clostridia; Eubacteriales
Description: uncultured Clostridiales bacterium partial 16S ribosomal RNA
Rfam family: Bacterial small subunit ribosomal RNA (bases 42-280)
Source: RNAcentral